CAACCCUCGCGCCCAUCCGGGCUGCGGUGUUGGGGACCGGCACAACCCCCCCCGGGGGGCGCCGCCCCCCAAAUCCAGUGGCGGCCCCGCCGCUGCCUCCCCUGCGUAGUAGCACACCUCGCACCGGAGCGCGGCUCGGCCACGCCGUAAAACCCCCGACUCUUAGA
This 167-nucleotide unclassified non-coding RNA is filed under the name Niesslia arctiicola. Its description in RNAcentral is "Monocillium arctiicola partial internal transcribed spacer 2". The record is from RNAcentral. Lineage: Eukaryota; Fungi; Ascomycota; Sordariomycetes; Hypocreales; Niessliaceae.